AACUUUAAAAAACCAGAUUUAUUGUAUAGGCUUGUUUAUAUGUAUAUCAAGCAUUAUCAAUAUUUUAAGCAUCAAAAGUCUACAAUUCUACAUAAAAUAUAAGCAAUAAGACAAGAAAAAAAUCAUUUAUUAUUAUUACAGAGUAAAAUAACAUAUGUGGUAUUAUGCAUGUUGUGGUAGUAAAUAAAACACGAAGACUGACGGAGUAAUUAUUGUAUUGCAGACGAAUAAUAUAAACCUCUUAAUACCUACUCAUCAUAUUGAUCAGUUUAAGUAUAAUUCCACUUCAUUUCUUUUGAAAAGGUAUACUUUUAAAUGGAAUUGGGUGUAACUGAUGGAAAGAAGACGGUAAAAUUUUACACCCAUCUGAGUUCACACAUGAUUUUAAUAAUUUUGCAUCAUUGACUGAAGUUUAGGUUAAUCCUAACUAUCAAUUGAAAUUAAGA
Molecule: long non-coding RNA, 446 nt
Filed under: Mytilus galloprovincialis (Mediterranean mussel)
Lineage: Eukaryota; Metazoa; Mollusca; Bivalvia; Mytilida; Mytilidae
Source: RNAcentral